AAUGCGAACUGGUAGAGACAAAAUUCUAUUUUGAGGUUUCAAUAUGAAGAAAAUGUUUUCAGGCGCGCGUUUCGAUGUAUCCAUAUCAAAACACAAGGACUUCAGGAAGUGUUUGCAGCUUUGUGAACUCGCUCAGACGACACAAGAGGCUGAGUUUAUUCAAAGCUUUUUCAGUUCCAUUCAGACGACACCGGAACUGAGUUACUUCAAAGGCCAGGCUAAACGAUAACAAAAAGAACCUCGUAUAAAGAGCCCGCCGAUCAUGUUGUUUCUACUGAUUUUUGUGCUGAUAACCCAGGCAUCUGCGACCGCCAAUAAUGUCAGCAGCAAACCAAGUGAUAACAAAGUCUCAAUGUGUUACGGUGGACAACCAGGGACAAAUGGCAUCCCCGGCAUGCAUGGCAUGCCGGGAUCCCCUGGGGCACCUGG
Orbicella faveolata is the source of this 429-nucleotide long non-coding RNA. The record is from RefSeq and is a predicted model, not a curated record. Lineage: Eukaryota; Metazoa; Cnidaria; Anthozoa; Scleractinia; Merulinidae.